Molecule: ribosomal RNA, 495 nt
Filed under: uncultured bacterium
Lineage: Bacteria
Description: partial 16S ribosomal RNA
Rfam family: Bacterial small subunit ribosomal RNA
Source: RNAcentral
GAUGAACGCUGGCGGCGUGCCUAAUACAUGCAAGUAGAACGCUGAAGGAGGAGCUUGCUCUUCUGGAUGAGUUGCGAACGGGUGAGUAACGCGUAGGUAACCUGCCUGGUAGCGGGGGAUAACUAUUGGAAACGAUAGCUAAUACCGCAUGACAACAGUUAUUGCAUGAUAACUGUUUAAAAGUGGCAACUGCUCCACUACCAGAUGGACCUGCGUUGUAUUAGCUAGUUGGUGAGGUAACGGCUCACCAAGGCGACGAUACAUAGCCGACCUGAGAGGGUGAUCGGCCACACUGGGACUGAGACACGGCCCAGACUCCUACGGGAGGCAGCAGUAGGGAAUCUUCGGCAAUAGACGGAAGUCUGACCGAGCAACGCCGCGUGAGUGAAGAAGGGUUUCGGAUCGUAAAGCUCUGUUGUAAGAGAAGAACGAGUGUGAGAGUGGAAAGUUCACACUGUGACGGUAUCUUAACAGAAAGGGACGGCUAACUACGUG